GGAUUCAUAGCUCAGUUGGUGAGAGCGUCAUACUGUUGUCGUGGGGUCACAGGUUCAAACCCUGUUGAAGUCCU
RNAcentral lists this transfer RNA (74 nucleotides) under Acropora cervicornis. Its description in RNAcentral is "tRNA-Asn". It matches the Rfam family "tRNA". From Rfam's summary of the family: Transfer RNA (tRNA) molecules are approximately 80 nucleotides in length. Their secondary structure includes four short double-helical elements and three loops (D, anti-codon, and T loops). The record is from RNAcentral. Lineage: Eukaryota; Metazoa; Cnidaria; Anthozoa; Scleractinia; Acroporidae.